AACGAACGCUGGCGGCAGGCUUAACACAUGCAAGUCGAACGCACCUUCCGGGGUCAGUGGCAGACGGGUGAGUAACGCGCGGGAAUCUACCCUUCUCUACGGGAUAGCUCCGGGAAACUGGAAUUAAUACCGUAUACGUCCUGAUGGAGAAAGAUUUAUCGGGGAAGGAUGAGCCGGCGUGGGAUUAGCUAGUUGGUGGGGUAAAGGCCUACCACGGCGACGAUCCAUAGCUGGUCUAAGAGGAUGAACAGCCACAUUGGGACUGAGACACGGCCCAAACUCCUACGGGAGGCAGCGGUGGGGAAUAUUGGACAAUGGGCGCAAGACUGAUGCAGCCAUGCCGCGUGAGUGAUGAAGGCCCUAGGGUUGUAAAGCUCUUUCAGUGGGGACGAUAAUGACGGUACCCACAGAAGAAGCCCCGGCUAACUUCGUG
Molecule: ribosomal RNA, 433 nt
Filed under: uncultured bacterium
Lineage: Bacteria
Description: partial 16S ribosomal RNA
Rfam family: Bacterial small subunit ribosomal RNA
Source: RNAcentral